UACGGAGGAUUCGAGCGUUAUCCGGAUUUAUUGGGCUUAAAGGGUCCGUAGGCGGACUGUUAAGUCAGCUGUGAAAGCCUACGGCUCAACUGUGGAAUGGCAAUUGAUACUGGUGGGCUUGAGUAUACAUGAGGUGGACGGAAUUUGUGGUGUAGCGGUGAAAUGCUUAGAUAUCGCAAAGAACACCAGUUGCGAAGGCAGCUCACUGGGCUAUAACUGACGCUGAUGCACGAAGGUGUGGGUAUCAAAAAGG
Molecule: ribosomal RNA, 253 nt
Filed under: uncultured bacterium
Lineage: Bacteria
Description: partial 16S ribosomal RNA
Rfam family: Bacterial small subunit ribosomal RNA
Source: RNAcentral